This 148-nucleotide non-coding RNA is filed under the name Homo sapiens (human). The record is from Rfam by way of RNAcentral. Lineage: Eukaryota; Metazoa; Chordata; Mammalia; Primates; Hominidae.
GCUGGGCGUGGUGGUGGGCACCUGUAAUCCCAGCUACUCAGGAGGCUGAGGCAGGAGAAUUGCUUGAGCCCGGGAGGCAGAGGUUGCAGUGAGCUGAGAUCGUGCCACUGCACUCCAGCCUGGGCGACAGAGCAAGACUCUGUCUCAA